Molecule: ribosomal RNA, 327 nt
Filed under: Triticum aestivum (bread wheat)
Lineage: Eukaryota; Viridiplantae; Streptophyta; Magnoliopsida; Poales; Poaceae
Description: partial small subunit ribosomal RNA
Source: RNAcentral
AUGCCAAAUAGGAAUGCCAAUGAGGUUGUGCUGCUUCUUUUCAUACUGUGCUUCUUUUCAUACUCAGUUUGUAUCGGCAAUUUUUGUAAGAACAUAUGUGCUAUAGCAAAUGUAGUGGAGCAGGUAUCCAACCAAUCACCUGCCAUUUGCUACUGCUAUAACAAAUGCAGUCUUAUCUACUGCUUCUGUGAAUCUUUUGUUCGAGUACAAAUGAUGAAAUGUGGGCGUUUAGUUUAUAAGAAAAUGCCAUUGCGGCAAGACUCUCAACAGUGUAUGCUUUACAUUGCUCUGCUAAUGACCAUGAGCAGCCUGACCAUGAUCUUUUAA